CACGUAGGGCGCAAGCGUUGUCCGGAAUUAUUGGGCGUAAAGGGCUCGUAGGCGGUCUGUCACGUCGGGAGUGAAAACUCAGGGCUUAACCCUGAGCCUGCUUCCGAUACGGGCAGACUAGAGGUAUGCAGGGGAGAACGGAAUUCCUGGUGUAGCGGUGAAAUGCGCAGAUAUCGGGAGGAACACCGGUGGCGAAGGCGGUUCUCUGGGCCUGUACUGACGCUGAGGAGCGAAAGCGUGGGGAGCAAACAGG
Molecule: ribosomal RNA, 253 nt
Filed under: uncultured bacterium
Lineage: Bacteria
Description: partial 16S ribosomal RNA
Rfam family: Bacterial small subunit ribosomal RNA
Source: RNAcentral